GACGAACGCUGGCGGCGUGCUUAACACAUGCAAGUCGAACGGUGAAAGUGGAGCUUGCUCCGCUGGAUCAGUGGCGAACGGGUGAGUAACACGUGGGCAACCUGCCCCUGACUUCGGGAUAACUCCUCGAAAGAGGUGCUAAUACCGGAUACGAAUCCUGCAGGCAUCUGCGGGGUUGGAAAGUUUUACGGUCAGGGAUGCGCCCGCGUCCUAUCAGCUUGGUGGUGAGGUACUGGCUCACCAAGGCGACGACGGGUAGCCGGCCUGAGAGGGCGACCGGCCACACUGGGACUGAGACACGGCCCAGACUCCUACGGGAGGCAGCAGUGGGGAAUAUUGCGCAAUGGGCGAAAGACUGACGCAGCAACGCCGCGUGAGGGAUGACGGCCUUCGGGUUGUAAACCUCUAUCAGCAGGGAAGAAGCGAAAGUGACGGUACCUGCAGAAGAAGCACCGGCUAACUACGUGCCAGCAGCCGCAGUAA
RNAcentral lists this ribosomal RNA (483 nucleotides) under uncultured bacterium. RNAcentral's name for it is "partial 16S ribosomal RNA". It matches the Rfam family "Bacterial small subunit ribosomal RNA", at positions 28 to 523 of the family's 1533-position model. The record is from RNAcentral.